RNAcentral lists this long non-coding RNA (416 nucleotides) under Cyanistes caeruleus (blue tit). Its description in RNAcentral is "lncRNA (ENSCCEG00000014900.1)". The record is from RNAcentral. Lineage: Eukaryota; Metazoa; Chordata; Aves; Passeriformes; Paridae.
CAUGAUUCUCUCUAUUUUUUCCAGUCACCAUGAAAGAAAAAAUUAUUUAGAAAUUCCAACUCUGAGAAUGCUCAGAAAGAUGGCAAGUUUUACAGAUGAAAAGCCAUCAAUGGAUUUCUAAAUUCCACAGAUUUGUCAUGUGCAGAGCUAUUGGAUCAGGUAAGUGCCAAGUUCCCCAUAAAAAAAUAUAGGAAGAGGAAUAUGACAGUUGUUGGAUAUGCAUCAGUACAAAUGUAAUGAUUUUCUUGCUUUCAAAAUACUUGAGGUUCAUAAUUUAUGCCAAUCUCUUUCAUUGUAACAUUCCUUUAUUUUUUUUCCUGUCGCUCCAUUUGACUUAGUAGGGGAAAAAAAAAAAAGGAAGAAAUAAUCCUAUGAGCUUGGUUUGAUGGAAAUAAAGAUAAUUUUUGGUGUUGCCA